GGUUCAGAACGAACGCUGGCGGCGUGCUUAACACAUGCAAGUCGAACGCGAAAGGGGACUUCGGUCCUGAGUAAAGUGGCGCACGGGUGAGUAACGCGUAGAUAACCUGUCUUCAUGUCUGGAAUAAUACGCCGAAAGGGGUACUAAUACCGGAUAUUCUUGCUUUUCAUAAGUUAUGCAAGCAAAGGUGGCCUCUGCAUAUGCUACUGCAUGAAGAGGGGUCUGCGUACCAUUAGCUAGUAGGUGGGGUAAUGGCCUACCUAGGCGACGAUGGUUAGCGGGUCUGAGAGGAUGAUCCGCCACACUGGCACUGGAACACGGGCCAGACUCCUACGGGAGGCAGCAGUGAGGAAUAUUGCGCAAUGGGGGAAACCCUGACGCAGCGACGCCGCGUGAGUGAGGAAGGCCUUCGGGUCGUAAAGCUCUGUCAAGAGGAAAGAAGUGUACAAUGGCUAAUACCUGUUGUAUUUGACGGUACCUCUAAAGGAAGCACCGGCUAACUCCGUGCCAGCCGCCGC
Molecule: ribosomal RNA, 518 nt
Filed under: uncultured bacterium
Lineage: Bacteria
Description: bacterial SSU rRNA
Rfam family: Bacterial small subunit ribosomal RNA
Source: RNAcentral